Molecule: small nucleolar RNA, 207 nt
Organism: Thrips palmi
Lineage: Eukaryota; Metazoa; Arthropoda; Insecta; Thysanoptera; Thripidae
Product: small nucleolar RNA U3
Exons: 1
Source: RefSeq, a predicted model, not a curated record
AAGAUUAUACUUCACAGAAUCAUUUCUGUAGUAUAUCUUCCUUUCUCUCUACUCAACAGUAGAAUAGAAAAUACCACGAGGAUGAGAUGUAAUCCUCUGUCCUGAGCGUGAGGCAGACGCUGGGAGCCUUCAUUUGGCUUCCACGUCAUCGAUGAUCGUUCACUGUUCCUUCGGGAUCAGGAAGGGAUAGAGGAUACUCUGAGUGGC